GUAUUUUGAAUUGUUUAUUCAUAAUAUUUUUCAGACAAAGUUGUUAAAAAUAAGAGUUGAUGUUUACAUCCUGUAGCGCAAAUGACAAGCAUUCGCGUUACAAGACAACAUUGCACACAAGGUGGAUAUGGAUUGAAAAAGUGCCAUAAAACACUUAUUGUGAAUGAUCCUUCCGCAGGUUCACCUACGGAAA
RNAcentral lists this unclassified non-coding RNA (193 nucleotides) under uncultured fungus. Its description in RNAcentral is "sequence contains ITS1, 5.8S rRNA gene". The record is from RNAcentral. Lineage: Eukaryota; Fungi.